AACGCUGGCGGCAUGCCUUACACAUGCAAGUCGAACGGCAGCAUAGGAGCUGCUCCUGAUGGCGAGUGGCGAACGGGUGAGUAAUAUAUCGGAACGUGCCCUAGAGUGGGGGAUAACUAGUCGAAAGACUAUAAUACCGCAUACGAUCUACGGAUGAAAGUGGGGGAUCGCAAGACCUCAUGCUCCUGGAGCGGCCGAUAUCUGAUUAGCUAGUUGGUGGGGUAAAAGCCUACCAAGGCAACGAUCAGUAGCUGGUCUGAGAGGACGACCGCCACACUGGGACUGAGACACGGCCCAGACUCCUACGGGAGGCAGCAGUGGGGAAUUUUGGACAAUGGGGGCAACCCUGAUCCAGCAAUGCCGCGUGAGUGAAGAAGGCCUUCGGGUUGUAAAGCUCUUUUGUCAGGGAAGGAACGGUAGUAGCGAAUAACUAUUACUAAUGACGGUACCUGAAGAAUAAGCACCGGCUAACUACGUGCCAGCAGCCGCGGUAAUACGUAGGGUGCAAGCGUUAAUCGGAAUUACUGGGCGUAAAGCGUGCGCAGGCGGUUGUGUAAGUC
Molecule: ribosomal RNA, 560 nt
Filed under: uncultured Herbaspirillum sp.
Lineage: Bacteria; Pseudomonadati; Pseudomonadota; Betaproteobacteria; Burkholderiales; Oxalobacteraceae
Description: bacterial SSU rRNA
Rfam family: Bacterial small subunit ribosomal RNA
Source: RNAcentral